This 202-nucleotide unclassified non-coding RNA is filed under the name Glomus macrocarpum. Its description in RNAcentral is "partial internal transcribed spacer 2". The record is from RNAcentral. Lineage: Eukaryota; Fungi; Glomeromycota; Glomeromycetes; Glomerales; Glomeraceae.
CAAAAUAAAAAAUCGAUUCGUUACUUUUGUAACAUUUCGGAAUUGAGUCGUCUUGCAUCUUUGAUUCAAGAGACUUAAAAUUGAUCACCUUUGGUAUGAUUUGAGUGUACUUAAGAUUUCUUUAUCGCGCUCGAUGAAUAUCGGACAUUUUCAUUAGGAUGACCAUGAUUGAUCAUGGUUUCAUUCCUAUAAUCAUUUCAUG